GCUCCAAUAGCGUAUAUUUAAGUUGUUGCAGUUAAAAAGCUCGUAGUUGGAUUUCGGGUGGGUUCCAGCGGUCCGCCUAUGGUGAGUACUGCUGUGGCCUCCUUUCUGUCGGGGACGGGCUCCUGGGCUUCACUGUCCGGGACUCGGAUUCGACGAUGAUACUUUGAGUAAAUUAGAGUGUUCAAAGCAAGCCUACGCUC
Molecule: ribosomal RNA, 200 nt
Filed under: uncultured eukaryote
Lineage: Eukaryota
Description: partial 18S ribosomal RNA
Rfam family: Eukaryotic small subunit ribosomal RNA
Source: RNAcentral